GCGGACGUAGCUCAAUUGGUAGAGCAAUCUCCUUCGCUCGCUCUUCGCCCGCUCCCACGGGCCGUUGAACGAGGGUUAUCGAUUUUCACUCGAAGGAUGCCGGUUCGAAUCCGGUCGUCUGCA
This 123-nucleotide transfer RNA is filed under the name Deltaproteobacteria bacterium. RNAcentral describes it as "tRNA-Glu". It matches the Rfam family "tRNA". Rfam says of the family: Transfer RNA (tRNA) molecules are approximately 80 nucleotides in length. Their secondary structure includes four short double-helical elements and three loops (D, anti-codon, and T loops). Further hydrogen bonds mediate the characteristic L-shaped molecular structure. tRNAs have two regions of fundamental functional importance: the anti-codon, which is responsible for specific mRNA codon recognition, and the 3' end, to which the tRNAs corresponding amino acid is attached (by aminoacyl-tRNA synthetases). tRNAs cope with the degeneracy of the genetic code in two manners: having more than one tRNA (with a specific anti-codon) for a particular amino acid; and 'wobble' base-pairing, i.e. permitting non-standard base-pairing at the 3rd anti-codon position. The record is from RNAcentral. Lineage: Bacteria; Pseudomonadati; Myxococcota; Myxococcia.